GACGGGGGGGGCAAGUGUUCUUCGGAAUGACUGGGCGUAAAGGGUGUGUAGGUGGUUUAAUAAGUUAGGUGUGAAAGUCCUGGGCUUAACCUGGGGAGGUCGCUUAAGACUGUUAAGCUAGAGUACUGUAGAGGAAAGUGGAAUUUCCGGUGUAGCAGUGAAAUGCGUAGAUAUCGGAAGGAACAUCAGUGGCGAAGGCGACUUUCUGGACAGAUACUGACACUGAGACACGAAAGCGUGGGGAGCAAACAGG
RNAcentral lists this ribosomal RNA (253 nucleotides) under uncultured bacterium. RNAcentral describes it as "partial 16S ribosomal RNA". It matches the Rfam family "Bacterial small subunit ribosomal RNA", at positions 524 to 776 of the family's 1533-position model. The record is from RNAcentral.